This 253-nucleotide ribosomal RNA is filed under the name uncultured bacterium. RNAcentral's name for it is "partial 16S ribosomal RNA". It matches the Rfam family "Bacterial small subunit ribosomal RNA", at positions 524 to 776 of the family's 1533-position model. The record is from RNAcentral.
UACGUAGGGUCCGAGCGUUGUCCGGAAUUACUGGGCGUAAAGAGUUCGUAGGUGGUUUGUCGCGUUGUUCGUGAAAACUCACAGCUCAACUGUGGGCGUGCGGGCGAUACGGGCAGACUUGAGUACUGCAGGGGAGACUGGAAUUCCUGGUGUAGCGGUGGAAUGCGCAGAUAUCAGGAGGAACACCGGUGGCGAAGGCGGGUCUCUGGGCAGUAACUGACGCUGAGGAGCGAAAGCGUGGGGAGCGAACAGG